Austrofundulus limnaeus is the source of this 572-nucleotide long non-coding RNA. RefSeq lists it as uncharacterized. The record is from RefSeq and is a predicted model, not a curated record. NCBI's taxonomy places the organism in Eukaryota, Metazoa, Chordata, Actinopteri, Cyprinodontiformes, Rivulidae. The transcript is spliced from 2 exons.
ACACCUUUUCUACCUGCUGCAGGUGAGACACACACGUUCUCAGGUGAGACAUACACCUUUUCUACCUGCUGCAGGUGAGACACAAACAUGUUCAACCUGCUGCAGGUGAGACACACACCUGUUCUACCUGCUGCAGGUGGGACACACCUGUUCUACCUGCCGCAGGUGAGACACACACGUUCUCAGGUGAGACAUACACCUUUUCUACCUGCUGCAGGUGAGACACAAACAUGUUCAACCUGCUGCAGGUGAGACACACACCUGUUCUACCUGCUGCAGGUGGGACACACCUGUUCUACCUGCCGCAGGUGAGACACACACGUUCUCAGGUGAGACAUACACCUUUUCUACCUGCUGCAGGUGAGACACAAACAUGUUCAACCUGCUGCAGGUGAGACACACACCUGUUCUACCUGCUGCAGGUGGGACACACAUGUUCUACCUGCUGCAGGUGGGACACACCUGUUCUACCUGCUGCAGGUGGGACACACACGUUCUCAGGUGAGACACACACCUUUUCUACCUGCUGCAGGUGAGACACACACCUCUUCUAUCUGCUGUGUGUGUGUGUG